Molecule: long non-coding RNA, 1272 nt
Organism: Lemur catta (Ring-tailed lemur)
Lineage: Eukaryota; Metazoa; Chordata; Mammalia; Primates; Lemuridae
Exons: 3
Source: RefSeq, a predicted model, not a curated record
GCGCAUGUGCACCAGUGUGCCUGUGCAUGUGUGCACCUCCACCCAGGAACUUCUCGCCCACAGACAGGAGCAACAAGGCUGCCUGCCUUUAUCUGGAGCAAUGGGGGCCCGUUGCAGGAUGGGAAGCAGAAUUGAAAACAAAGAUCAUCUGCUUUCCAUGUUCUAAAGGAGCUGUGGUAUUUGCAGAAAACUUUCUUCCCUCCCCUCAAACCCUCCUUCUCUAGUCUCUGCAGGCUGCCGAGGUGCCACAACUUUACUGUACCUUCGGGCAGCGGGCAGCGGCAAGUGGAGAAAAGUAGAGAUGUGGCUCUAUCCAAGGGUAACCACUCGAAUGACCUUUCCUCCGUGUUCUGCCCACUGAACACCUCCACUGUCUGAGUCUCAGGAAUGAGGCAGCCGCAGGUCGGCUGGUGCAGACGGACCUGAGUGAAGCUGUAUGUUGUCCAAAGUUAAGGAAGUCAAGACUCAGAGAAGCUAAUUGACUUUCCCAAACUCACACAGCAGUGAGGGCAAACCCAGGACUUGAAUCUCCCUCUUCUGACUUCAAGAACAAAAAGUUUCCCAGUACCUCCGUGACUAAAAAUAUUGGCACCCCCGUAUCAGCACCCAUGGGGCUGCCCUCAAAGCCACACAACGAAGCCUGGAGCCUGCGGCUCAAAAGCGGUGAGUCAGCCUGAGGGAGAUGAGAACGGAGCAUCCCAGAAUCCGGUUCCAACACUCCCGCUUGGCACUGACCAUCUUGACUCUGGGCAAGUCGCUUCGCCUCUCUGGAUCUCCAUUGCUCACCUGUAUAACUGGGAGGUAGAGGCGUCCCUCCCUGAAGUCCUGUUCUGUUCUCAGAUUCCUAUCCUGAGAGUUCCACAGCGCACCUACUGCGACGUGUUCUUUUUCAGAACAGUUCUGCCACCCGGAAUCUCUCGAAGCCAUGAGAGUCAAUUCCCCAUAACCGCGACGAUCAGCGCUCCCACUUCCCCAAAGCAUAUGGCACCGUGGACGCCUGCCAGGGGCUCUGGGAACGGAGGUGAGGAGUGAGUGAGCAUCAGCAUCCAGCGUGUUGGGCUUGUCCUUGUUCUCAUUGCCCAGCACCUACAGCGGGGAUGGUAGACCAUCCCUUUACCGAGGAUUUCAAGGACGUGGUCUCUGCCUUCCUGGAGUGGAUUGUUUCCGGUCCUGUCUUUGCCUCACCGCCCCGUCUCUACCACACCGUCCUGCCCUGUCUGCUUUGGGCUUUUCCGUUUCUCGGUGUCGCUCUGUAUUUAGUAUACUAAUAAA